RNAcentral lists this ribosomal RNA (377 nucleotides) under uncultured delta proteobacterium. RNAcentral describes it as "bacterial SSU rRNA". It matches the Rfam family "Bacterial small subunit ribosomal RNA", at positions 521 to 896 of the family's 1533-position model. The record is from RNAcentral. Lineage: Bacteria; Deltaproteobacteria.
UAAUACGGGGGGUGCAAGCGUUAUUCGGAAUCACUGGGCGUAAAGGGCGCGCAGGCGGUUUGGUAAGUCAGAUGUGAAAGCCCGGGGCUCAACCCCGGAAGUGCAUUUGAUACUGCCAAACUUGAGUAUGGGAGAGGGAAGUGGAAUUCCUGGUGUAGAGGUGAAAUUCGUAGAUAUCAGGAGGAACACCGGUGGCGAAGGCGACUUCCUGGACCAAUACUGACGCUGAGGCGCGAAGGCGUGGGGAGCAAACAGGAUUAGAUACCCUGGUAGUCCACGCAGUAAACGGUGAACACUAGGUGUAGCGGGUAUUGACCCCUGCUGUGCCGGAGCUAACGCAUUAAGUGUUCCGCCUGGGAAGUACGGCCGCAAGGUUA